UACAGAGGUCUCAAGCGUUGUUCGGAAUUAUUGGGCGUAAAGGGCGCGUAGGCGGCCAGCACAAGUCAGUUGUGAAAUCUCCGGGCUUAACUCGGAAAGGUCAACUGAUACUGUGCGGCUAGAGUGCAGAAGGGGCAACUGGAAUUCUCGGUGUAGCGGUGAAAUGCGUAGAUAUCGAGAGGAACACCUGCGGCGAAGGCGGGUUGCUGGGCUGACACUGACGCUGAUGCGCGAAAGCCAGGGGAGCGAACGGG
Molecule: ribosomal RNA, 254 nt
Filed under: uncultured bacterium
Lineage: Bacteria
Description: partial 16S ribosomal RNA
Rfam family: Bacterial small subunit ribosomal RNA
Source: RNAcentral